GUAGUCUCGCACAGAUGCAUAUCAAUAAGCGGAGGAAAAGAAACUAACAAGGAUUCCCUUAGUAACGGCGAGUGAAGCGGGAAGAGCUCAAAUUUGAAAUCUUCAAGGUUUUACCUUGACGAAUUGUAGUUUAAAGAAGUGUUUUCUGUUGAAGUUUUGGUAAAAGUUCUUUGGAAUAGGACAUCAUAGAGGGUGAGAAUCCCGUAUUUGACCAUUAUUUUCAGCUGUGUGAUACACUUUCAAAGAGUCGGAUUGUUUGGGAAUGCAGUCCAAAAUGGGUGGUAAAUUUCAUCUAAAGCUAAAUAUUGGCGAGAGACCGAUAGCGAACAAGUACCGUGAGGGAAAGAUGAAAAGAACUUUGAAAAGAGAGUUAAACAGUACGUGAAAUUGUCAAAAGGGAAGCGUUUGACACCAGUGUUGUUUUCUCGAAAAUCAAUUAAAAAGAGUUAGAUUUUGUUGUGUAUUGACCUUAACAGCUUGCAUUUCAAUUUUCUUGCUUUUUUUAAUGCACUUUUCGUUUAACAAGUCAACAUCAGUUUCUUUUUGUUGUAAAAAGGUCAUUGGAAGGUGGCUUUCUUUUCGGAGAAAGUGUUUAUAGCCUUUGACUCCUGCAAUCGGAGAGACUGAGGUCUGCAGCGUAGAUCCUUCGGGGUUAGAUACAUUUGUGCUAAGUUAUAGCUUUUUAUAGACAACUUGUUGACUAUGAUUAGUCUUGUAGCUUACUCGCUUAUGCUAUUUUACCUACGCUUAGGAUGUUGAGCGCAUGUCUCUCUCU
RNAcentral lists this ribosomal RNA (775 nucleotides) under uncultured Neocallimastigales. RNAcentral describes it as "partial large subunit ribosomal RNA". It matches the Rfam family "Eukaryotic large subunit ribosomal RNA", at positions 24 to 616 of the family's 3401-position model. The record is from RNAcentral. Lineage: Eukaryota; Fungi; Neocallimastigomycota; Neocallimastigomycetes; Neocallimastigales.